RNAcentral lists this ribosomal RNA (374 nucleotides) under uncultured prokaryote. Its description in RNAcentral is "bacterial SSU rRNA". It matches the Rfam family "Bacterial small subunit ribosomal RNA", at positions 524 to 896 of the family's 1533-position model. The record is from RNAcentral.
UACGGGGGGUGCAAGCGUUGUUCGGAAUCAUUGGGCGUAAAGAGCGUGUAGGCGGCUUGACAAGUCAGAUGUGAAAGCCCCGGGCUUAACCUGGGAAGUGCAUUUGAAACUGUCAUGCUUGAGUAGGGGAGAGGGAAGUGGAAUUCCUGGUGUAGAGGUGAAAUUCGUAGAUAUCAGGAGGAACACCAGUGGCGAAGGCGACUUCCUGGCCCUAUACUGACGCUGAGACGCGAGAGCGUGGGUAGCAAACAGGAUUAGAUACCCUGGUAGUCCACGCCGUAAACGAUGUUCACUAGGUGUUGGGGGUAUUGACCCCCUCAGUGCCGCAGCUAACGCAUUAAGUGAACCGCCUGGGGAGUACGGUCGCAAGACUA